AGGGUUCGAUUAUGGCUCAGGAUGAACGCUAGCGACAGGCUUAACACAUGCAAGUCGAGGGGCAGCAUUGUAAUUAGCUUGCUAAUUACAGAUGGCGACCGGCGCACGGGUGAGUAACGCGUAUGGAACCUGCCCUUUACAGGGGGAUAGCCCAUGGAAACGUGGAUUAAAAUCCCAUAAUACUUUGUUCAGGCAUCUGAAUGGAGUUAAAUCUACGGAGGUAAAGGAUGGCCAUGCGUCCUAUUAGCUGGUUGGCGGGGUAACGGCCCACCAAGGCGAUGAUAGGUAGGGGUUCUGAGAGGAAGGUCCCCCACAUUGGAACUGAGACACGGUCCAA
RNAcentral lists this ribosomal RNA (337 nucleotides) under uncultured bacterium. Its description in RNAcentral is "bacterial SSU rRNA". It matches the Rfam family "Bacterial small subunit ribosomal RNA", at positions 8 to 334 of the family's 1533-position model. The record is from RNAcentral.